This 841-nucleotide ribosomal RNA is filed under the name uncultured bacterium. RNAcentral's name for it is "bacterial SSU rRNA". It matches the Rfam family "Bacterial small subunit ribosomal RNA", at positions 28 to 867 of the family's 1533-position model. The record is from RNAcentral.
GAUGAACGCUAGCGGCAGGCUUAAUACAUGCAAGUCGUGGGGCAGCGCAGGUAGCAAUACUGGGCGGCGACCGGCAAACGGGUGCGGAACACGUACACAACCUUCCUAUAAGUGGGGAAUAGCCCAGAGAAAUUUGGAUUAAUACCCCGUAACAUAACGAUGUGGCAUCACAUUGUUAUUAUAGCUUUGGCGCUUAUUGAUGGGUGUGCGGCUGAUUAGAUAGCUGGCGGGGUAACGGCCCACCAAGUCUACGAUCAGUAGCUGAUGUGAGAGCAUGAUCAGCCACACGGGCACUGAGACACGGGCCCGACUCCUACGGGAGCCAGCAGUAAGGAAUAUUGGACAAUGGGCGAAAGCCUGAUCCAGCCAUGCCGCGUGAAGGAUGAAGGUCCUCUGGAUUGUAAACUUCUUUUAUUUGGGACGAAAAAAGGGAAUUCUUUCCCACUUGACGGUACCAGAUGAAUAAGCACCGGCUAACUCCGUGCCAGCAGCCGCGGUAAUACGGAGGGUGCAAGCGUUAUCCGGAUUCACUGGGUUUAAAGGGUGCGUAGGCGGGUAGGUAAGUCAGUGGUGAAAUCCUAGAGCUUAACUCUAGAACUGCCAUUGAUACUAUCUAUCUUGAAUAUUGUGGAGGUAAGCGGAAUAUGUCAUGUAGCGGUGAAAUGCUUAGAUAUGACAUAGAACACCCAUUGCGAAGGCAGCUUACUACACAUAUAUUGACGCUGAUGCACGAAAGCGUGGGGAUCAAACAGGAUUAGAUACCCUGGUAGUCCACGCCCUAAACGAUGAUUACUCGACAUUUGUGAUACACAAUAAGUGUCUGAGCGAAAGCAUUAAGUAA